RNAcentral lists this ribosomal RNA (365 nucleotides) under uncultured archaeon. Its description in RNAcentral is "bacterial SSU rRNA". It matches the Rfam family "Archaeal small subunit ribosomal RNA", at positions 93 to 458 of the family's 1478-position model. The record is from RNAcentral.
GUAACGCGUAGUCAAUCUACCCUAUGGACGAGGAUAACCUCGGGAAACUGAGAAUAAUACUCGAUAGAACAUUAUGCCUGGAAUGGUUUAUGUUCCAAAUGAUUUAUCGCCGUAGGAUGGGACUGCGGCCUAUCAGUUUGUUGGUGAGGUAAUGGCCCACCAAGACUAUUACAGGUACGGGCUCUGAGGGGAGUGGCCCGGAGAUGGGUACUGAGACACGGACCCAGGCCCUAUGGGGCGCAGCAGGCGAGAAAACUUUGCAAUGUGCGAAAGCACGACAAGGUUAAUCCGAGUGGUUUCUGCUAAAGAGACCUUUUGUCGGUCCUAGAAACACCGAUGAAUAAGGGGUGGGCAAGUUCUGGUGU